GAUGAACGCUGGCGGCGUGCCUAAUACAUGCAAGUCGAGCGAACAGAUAAGGAGCUUGCUCCUUUGACGUUAGCGGCGGACGGGUGAGUAACACGUGGAUAACCUGCCUAUAAGACUGGGAUAACUUCGGGACACCGGAGCUAAUACCGGCUAACAUAUUGAACCGCAUGGUUCACUAGUGAAAGCCGGCUUUGCUGUCACUUAUAGAUGGAUCCGCGCCGUAUUAGCUAGUUGGUAAGGUAACGGCUUACCAAGGCAACGAUACGUAGCCGACCUGAGAGGGUGAGCGGCCACACUGGAACUGAGACACGGUCCAGACUCCUACGGGAGGCAGCAGUAGGGAAUCUUCCGCAAUGGGCGAAAGCCUGACGGAGCAACGCCGCGUGAGUGAUGAAGGUCUUCGGAUCGUAAAACUCUGUUAUCAGGGAAGAACAAAUGUGUAAGUAACUGUGCACAUCUUGACGGUACCUGAUCAGAAAGCCACGGCUAACUACGUG
Molecule: ribosomal RNA, 497 nt
Filed under: uncultured bacterium
Lineage: Bacteria
Description: partial 16S ribosomal RNA
Rfam family: Bacterial small subunit ribosomal RNA
Source: RNAcentral